Molecule: long non-coding RNA, 886 nt
Organism: Oncorhynchus tshawytscha (Chinook salmon)
Lineage: Eukaryota; Metazoa; Chordata; Actinopteri; Salmoniformes; Salmonidae
Source: Ensembl
AGCCGUCCUAGUUCAUAUGUUCCACUCUUUCUGAAUUCCCCCUAUAGAUAUUUUCCUAAUAUUUGAAACUUGUUUUAUUGAGUUUUUACCAAAAAUUGCAUUUAAUAGCCUGUUAUAUUCUGAAAUUAUCGCAGUAUAGCUGCCGGCUGUGCUACGUAAAGCUUGGGGCCGUUUCCACAGACAGGGCUUAGAUUAAACCAGGAGUAGGCCUUAAUGUGUACUAGUUAAACUAGGACAUUUAAGUAGCUUUCAUGAACGUGGCUUAAAUUUGGCUUAGUUAGUUGGAGACUAUGGAGUCCUGGAGUAAGUUAUUGAAAGUAAAAACCAUACUACUGCUACUGAGAAAAAGAAAAAGAGUGGUUGGGCUGCAAUUUGCAGUGAAUUCAAUACAAAUGAAAAUGUAACCACAAGAAGAGUACAACAACUUCAGACUCCAUGGAAGAACCUUAAACUGGCUUUAAAAAGAGAGAAUGCAGAGAUCAGAAGAGAGUGAUUUACUACUGGUGGUGGACCACCAAAAAAAGAGGAAAGGAAUCUGAACAGGGUGGAAGAGCUAGUGCACAGUGAGUGUGUACCCUCCACAUCUGCUAUAACAUCCCUGAGAGAAGAUGCUGCCACCACCUUUCAGCGGAGAACAAACAAGAUGACCAUGCAUGAAAAGUUAGCCAGAGAAUUUCAUGAGCAUAAAAUAAAAAUAAAAUUAGAAAUAUCUGAAGGAAGAACAUGAAAUAAAAAUGAGAAUUCUACAGGUUGAAUUGGAUAUGAAGUUGGAAGAGAAAGGUAUAAUCCCCAAAAAGAUACAGAAAUGAGACAAUAGUGAUGUCCAGCCAUGGUGAUCAAUAUGAUAUGUUAAAAUUAAAUGUUUUGUCAUUUGGAUAUUCACGGG